RNAcentral lists this ribosomal RNA (496 nucleotides) under uncultured bacterium. RNAcentral describes it as "partial 16S ribosomal RNA". It matches the Rfam family "Bacterial small subunit ribosomal RNA", at positions 30 to 523 of the family's 1533-position model. The record is from RNAcentral.
AUUGAACGCUGGCGGAAUGCUUUACACAUGCAAGUCGAACGGUAGAGGGGGCAACCCCUCGAGAGUGGCGAACGGGUGAGUAAUAUAUCGGAACGUGCCCAGUCGUGGGGGAUAACGUAGCGAAAGUUACGCUAAUACCGCAUACGAUCUAAGGAUGAAAGCGGGGGAUCGCAAGACCUCGCGCGAUUGGAGCGGCCGAUAUCAGAUUAGGUAGUUGGUGGGGGAAAGGCUCACCAAGCCAACGAUCUGUAGCUGGUCUGAGAGGACGACCGGCCACACUGGAACUGAGACACGGUCCAGACUCCUACGGGAGGCAGCAGUGGGGAAUUUUGGACAAUGGACGCAAGUCUGAUCCAGCCAUUCCGCGUGCAGGAUGAAGGCCCUCGGGUUGUAAACUGCUUUUGUACGGAACGAAAAGGUCUCUCUUAAUACGGGGGGCUCAUGACGGUACCGUAAGAAUAAGCACCGGCUAACUACGUGCCAGCCGCCGCUGUAA